Molecule: ribosomal RNA, 403 nt
Filed under: bacterium
Lineage: Bacteria
Description: partial 16S ribosomal RNA
Rfam family: Bacterial small subunit ribosomal RNA
Source: RNAcentral
UGGGGAAUAUUGCACAAUGGGGGAAACCCUGAUGCAGCGACGCCGCGUGAACGAAGAAGGUAUUCGUAUCGUAAAGUUCUGUCCUAUGGGAUGAUAAUGACAGUACCAUAGAAGAAAGCUCCGGCUAAAUACGUGCCAGCAGCCGCGGUAAUACGUAUGGAGCGAGCGUUGUCCGGAAUUAUUGGGCGUAAAGGGUACGCAGGCGGUUUAAUAAGUCGAAUGUUAAAGAUCGGGGCUCAACCCCGUAAAGCAUUGGAAACUGAUAAACUUGAGUAGUGGAGAGGAAAGUGGAAUUCCUAGUGUAGUGGUGAAAUACGUAGAUAUUAGGAGGAAUACCAGUAGCGAAGGCGACGUUCUGGACACAAACUGACGCUGAGGUACGAAAGCGUGGGGAGCAAACAGG